This is a microRNA precursor of Oryza rufipogon (brownbeard rice), 203 nucleotides long. It matches the Rfam family "MIR812 microRNA precursor family". The record is from Rfam. NCBI's taxonomy places the organism in Eukaryota, Viridiplantae, Streptophyta, Magnoliopsida, Poales, Poaceae.
UAUAAGCACAACCAUAAUUUUUUGUGCCUAAUUUUGAUCCUCCGUCUUAUUUAUUUUUUUUAUAAUUAGUAUUUUUAUUGUUAUAAGAUGAUAAAAUAUGAAUAGUACUCUAUACGUGACUUAUGUUCUCAAUUUUUUUCAAAAUUUUUUUAAAUGAGACAAACGGUCAAAGUUGGGUAUGGAAAAUUAUGGCUACACUUGUA